RNAcentral lists this ribosomal RNA (543 nucleotides) under Cordyceps farinosa. RNAcentral describes it as "eukaryotic LSU rRNA". The stretch from base 179 to 332 matches the Rfam family "5.8S ribosomal RNA". The record is from RNAcentral. Lineage: Eukaryota; Fungi; Ascomycota; Sordariomycetes; Hypocreales; Cordycipitaceae.
AGUUUUCAACUCCCAAACCCUUUUGUGAACAUACCUAUCGUUGCUUCGGCGGACUCGCCCCAGCGUCCGGCCGGCCCCGCGCCGGCCGCGGCCUGGAUCCAGGCGGCCGCCGGAGACCCCCAAACUCUGUAUUCUCAGUAUCUUCUGAAUCCGCCGCAAGGCAAAACAAAUGAAUCAAAACUUUCAACAACGGAUCUCUUGGUUCUGGCAUCGAUGAAGAACGCAGCGAAAUGCGAUAAGUAAUGUGAAUUGCAGAAUUCAGUGAAUCAUCGAAUCUUUGAACGCACAUUGCGCCCGCCAGCAUUCUGGCGGGCAUGCCUGUUCGAGCGUCAUUUCAACCCUCGACUUCCCUUUGGGGAAAUCGGCGUUGGGGACCGGCCGUAUACCGCCGGCCCCGAAAUGAAGUGGCGGCCCGUCCGCGGCGACCUCUGCGUAGUAAUCCAACUCGCACCGGAACCCCGACGUGGCCACGCCGUAAAACCCCCGACUUCUGAACGUUGACCUCGGAUCAGGUAGGAAUACCCGCUGAACUUAAGCAUAUCA